GGUUCCAUGGGUGCAAUGGGUCAAAUGCAUAUGGCUGUUAACCAGAAGGCUGGUGGUUCAAGCCCACCCAGGAGUCA
Molecule: non-coding RNA, 77 nt
Organism: Podarcis lilfordi (Lilford's wall lizard)
Lineage: Eukaryota; Metazoa; Chordata; Lepidosauria; Squamata; Lacertidae
Source: the annotation of a GenBank genome assembly